GCUUAUGCGUUGUUGGGUAGGGGAGCGUUCUGUAAGCCUGUGAAGGUGGCCUGUGAGGGUUGCUGGAGGUAUCAGAAGUGCGAAUGCUGACAUAAGUAACGAUAAAGCGGGUGAAAAGCCCGCUCGCCGGAAGACCAAGGGUUCCUGUCCAACGUUAAUCGGGGCAGGGUGAGUCGACCCCUAAGGCGAGGCCGAAAGGCGUAGUCGAUGGGAAACGGGUUAAUAUUCCCGUACUUGGUGUUACUGCGAAGGGGGGACGGAGAAGGCUAUGUUGGCCGGGCGACGGUUGUCCCGGUUUAAGCGUGUAGGCUGGUUUUCCAGGCAAAUCCGGAAAAUCAAGGCUGAGGCGUGACGACGAGGCACUACGGUGCUGAAGCAACAAAUGCCCUGCUUCCAGGAAAAGCCUCUAAGCAUCAGGUAACAUCAAAUCGUACCCCAAACCGACACAGGUGGUCAGGUAGAGAAUACCAAGGCGCUUGAGAGAACUCGGGUGAAGGAACUAGGCAAAAUGGUGCCGUAACUUCGGGAGAAGGCACGCUGACACGUAGGUGAAGUGAUUUACUCAUGGAGCUGAAGUCAGUCGAAGAUACCAGCUGGCUGCAACUGUUUAUUAAAAACACAGCACUGUGCAAACACGAAAGUGGACGUAUACGGUGUGACGCCUGCCCGGUGCCGGAAGGUUAAUUGAUGGGGUCAGCGCAAGCGAAGCUCCUGAUCGAAGCCCCGGUAAACGGCGGCCGUAACUAUAACGGUCCUAAGGUAGCGAAAUUCCUUGUCGGGUAAGUUCCGACCUGCACGAAUGGCGUAAUGAUGGCCAGGCUGUCUCCACCCGAGACUCAGUGAAAUUGAACUCGCUGUGAAGAUGCAGUGUACCCGCGGCAAGACGGAAAGACCCCGUGAACCUUUACUAUAGCUUGACACUGAACAUUGAGCCUUGAUGUGUAG
RNAcentral lists this ribosomal RNA (945 nucleotides) under Salmonella enterica. Its description in RNAcentral is "partial 23S ribosomal RNA". It matches the Rfam family "Bacterial large subunit ribosomal RNA", at positions 1213 to 2141 of the family's 2925-position model. Lineage: Bacteria; Pseudomonadati; Pseudomonadota; Gammaproteobacteria; Enterobacterales; Enterobacteriaceae. RNAcentral also lists the same sequence under 1 other name. The record is from RNAcentral.